Molecule: ribosomal RNA, 497 nt
Filed under: uncultured bacterium
Lineage: Bacteria
Description: partial 16S ribosomal RNA
Rfam family: Bacterial small subunit ribosomal RNA
Source: RNAcentral
GAUGAACGCUGGCGGCGUGCCUAAUACAUGCAAGUCGAGCGAACAGACGAGGAGCUUUCUCCCUUGACGUUAGCGGCGCGCGGGGGAGUAACACGUGGAUAACCUACCUAUAAGACUGGGAUAACUUCGGGAAACCGGAGCUAAUACCGGCUAAUCUAUUGAAGCGCAUGGUUCGAUAGUGAAAGACGGCUUUGCUGUCACUUUUAGAUGGAUCCGCGCCGCAUUAGCUAGUUGGUAAGGUAACGGCUUACCAAGGCGACGAUGCGUAGCCGACCUGAGAGGAUGAUCGGCCACACUGGAACUGAGACACGGUCCAGACUCCUACGGGAGGCAGCAGUAGGGAAUCUUGCGCAAUGGGCGAAAGCCUGACGGAGCAAUGCCGCGUGAGUGAUGAAGGUCUUCGGAUCGUAAAACUCUGUUAUUGGGGAAGAACAAAUUUGUGAGUAACUCUGGACGUCUUGACGGUACCUAAUGAGAAAGCCACGGCUAACUACGUG